RNAcentral lists this ribosomal RNA (328 nucleotides) under uncultured eukaryote. RNAcentral describes it as "partial 18S ribosomal RNA". It matches the Rfam family "Eukaryotic small subunit ribosomal RNA", at positions 1470 to 1796 of the family's 1831-position model. The record is from RNAcentral.
CCCUUAGAUGUCCGGGGCCGCACGCGCGUUACACUGAUGCAUUCAACGAGCUUAUAACCUUGGCCGAGAGGCCUGGGCAAUCUUGUUAACGUGCAUCGUGAUAGGGAUAGAUUAUUGAAAUUAUUAAUCUUGAACGAGGAAUUCCUAGUAAACGCAGAUCAUCAAUCUGCAUUGAUUACGUCCCUGCCCUUUGUACACACCGCCCGUCGCACCUACCGAUUGGAUGGUCCGGUGAAGCCUCGGGAUUGUGGUUCUUGCCGCUUUAUUGUGGCGUGACCGCGAGAACUUGUCUAAACCUUAUCAUCUAGAGGAAGGUGAAGUCGUAACA